UGGAUUAGGUGAUAAUGACAACAUGAGCCAUGAGGGUAUUGAUAAUAUUUUUUUCUUAGUUUAUGAUGUUCAACUACAAUUUUGAUAAGCUUUUAUUUUCAUCGUGUAUAUUACAUAACCUCCACAAGUUAGUCCUCGCUGUUUAACUACCUACUCUAAGAAAAAUUCAAUUUUGGAUAGUGGAUACCAAUCAAGCGGUUCCUUUUUAAUGUAAUAAUCUGACCAGCUUCUGAAAAUAACCUUUCGCAAGGAGUACUAGUUGCAGUCACAAAAAGGCGCUUCAUAACAAAUGUAUGUAGAUUAGGAUAUAUAUGUUUUCGUUCAUGCCACCAUUUCAAAGGGUCAUCUUGACGUUCUAUUAAUGAUUUUCCAUAACAGAAAUACUGGAGGAGAUGGAAUUGAUGUAGAUGUAGAAGGUGUUUGUUCAGUA
Molecule: long non-coding RNA, 430 nt
Organism: Daktulosphaira vitifoliae (grape phylloxera)
Lineage: Eukaryota; Metazoa; Arthropoda; Insecta; Hemiptera; Phylloxeridae
Exons: 3
Source: RefSeq, a predicted model, not a curated record